Selaginella moellendorffii is the source of this 722-nucleotide long non-coding RNA. RefSeq lists it as uncharacterized. The record is from RefSeq and is a predicted model, not a curated record. The transcript is spliced from 2 exons. NCBI's taxonomy places the organism in Eukaryota, Viridiplantae, Streptophyta, Lycopodiopsida, Selaginellales, Selaginellaceae.
CUGUUAGGUAAGAGCUGCGCCGGAUCGUAAUGGACAUUAAUCGCGCGAGCGCUUGGAAAUUUAUGGCCGCUCAUGAUUCAGGCAUCCAUUUCUUUCUCCGAUCAUGAAUCUUUGAUGAGCGGCGUUCCAUCCGUUCUCUUCUCUGGCUUCACAGGUUCGUAGCGAAUCGGGGUUUUCUCGCUCCAGGAUUUGACGGAGUCUUCGUCGAUCGGUCCGGCUGCAAGGCAGAAGAAAUAUUUGUUUGGCCGCUGCGUAUCCGAUCGAGCACCGCCCUCUCCUGUGUCACCUACUUUCUCUACCAACACCUAUGAAGUUAGAUGAUGCAGCAAUUUGCACAACAUUGCUCUAAGGAUAUGGCAACGUAGGCGAGGAAGCGACGGAGCUUCUGGCUGGAGCCUCAUGAGGGAGAAACAGCAUGUUGUUCAUCAGAUCUUGAGCUCUCCCAAACUGUCCUGAGCGACUGAGAUCAAUCCAUGGUCGAUGGUAAUCGACGUGAAGCACACACAGGUGGCUUUUCUCCAAGCAGCCAAUGUGACUAGAUGUGCUAAACACCGCAGGCAAGAACAUCAAUGUUAAAGGCCAGGCAUCUCACGGAAAACUCUGCUCCUGGGUGUAAGCUUUGAUCAUGAGGAUUCAGGCUCCAGGGCCACUUUCUCACGAAUCUUUCGCGCGUUUUUUAACGGACAUGAAAGCUUUCCACGAAGCUCUUUGGGCUUGAUCCA